This 2775-nucleotide unclassified non-coding RNA is filed under the name Eurytemora carolleeae. RNAcentral's name for it is "disks large 1 tumor suppressor protein". Lineage: Eukaryota; Metazoa; Arthropoda; Copepoda; Calanoida; Temoridae. The record is from RNAcentral.
UCUAUUAAAUAUAAUGCCUGUGACGAAGGCAGAGGCCCACAGGGCCUUGGAACUGCUGGAGGAUUAUUACACCAGGUUGUCUGAGGAAGAUGAAAAGCAGCUGAGAGCAGCGAUAGAACGAGUUAUUCGAAUAUUUAAAUCAAGAUUAUUUCAGUCUUUGCUGGAUAUCCAAGAAUUCUACGAACUAACCCUCAUGGAUGAAUCAAAGUCGAUCAAUACAAAAACUUCUGAAGCUUUGCAAAUGGCGUCACGGUGGGAGGUGGCUGGGCCCCCCGGUCAAUCUAAAGGUCUUGAACUGGGUCAGGACAUCUCUCUUCCAGAUCAACAACGCGACGAAAUGCUGCGUCAAUUGGCUCAUAUUGCAAACGAAGCAGUUCCUGCGUCACGGAGUUUAUCAAGACGUGAACCUGUUCUUGCGCCGCUACCUGUAUCCGCCCCCGUUCCUGUUCCUCCCCCUGCCAGUGUUCCAAGAUCAGUAUCUGCUGCUGGGAUAGAAAACUGGGAGUACGACGAUAUAAGUUUGGAACGUGGUGGGGCCGGGCUUGGAUUUUCCAUCGCCGGUGGAACCGAUAACCCUCAUGUUCCGAACGACAAUUCUAUAUUCAUAACUAAAAUUAUUGAUGGGGGUGCUGCAGCUCACGACGGCCGCCUCAGAGUCAACGAUAUCAUUACCCAUGUCAACGGCGUGUGCGUCAUCGAGGUUCCCCAUACAGCGGCGGUUGACGCCCUAAAAAGGGCAGGAAACAGUGUUCACCUAACCGUGAAAAGAAAAAGGCAGACCAACGGGACCAGUGGGGAUUUUAUAAAUGUAGAACUUAUGAAAGGUUCCAAAGGACUGGGAUUCACCAUUGCGGGAGGAAUUAACAAUCAGCAUAUUCCCGGGGACAACGGCAUUUAUGUGACCAAGGUUAUGGAGGGUGGGGCAGCAUUUAACGACGGACGGAUUGCUGUUGGAGACCGGCUGGUUGCUGUGAAGAACCUGCCGACCGGAGACUUUUACCUGGAGGACUGUUCUCAUGAGGAGGCAGUGAAGGCCCUGAAGGCAAGUAAGGAGAAAGUGUACUUAGUCAUCAGCAAGGUAGACAACCACUACCCCUUCGAGGUGUCCCCAAGCCCAACCUUUACUCAGAUGGACCCCUACAAACCUCAGUAUAAGGUCCCUAGAUCUGUAUCAGAAGAGGAGCUUAUUCGUGCUCCCCGAACGGUUUCUCUGGUCAAGGGACCGGCGGGUUUAGGGUUUAAUAUCGUCGGUGGGGAGGACGGUGAAGGAAUCUUUAUAUCUUUUAUAUUGGCGGGUGGACCCGCCGAUGUGUCUGGGCAAGUAAAGCGUGGGGAUCAGAUUUGCAGCGUGAACGGUAUUGACCUGAGUAACGCGACCCAUGAGGCGGCAGCACAGGCCCUAAAAGGAGCUGGUAACACUGUACAUAUGAAGUUGCAGUACAAACCUGACGAUUACAACAAGUUUGAGGCAAAGAUUCACAGUCUUAAGAAGCAAAUAAUCAGCGGCAGUAUGCUUAGAAUGUCAGAGAAGAAAUCCUUGUAUGUUAGAUCUCUGUUCGAUUAUGAUCCAACAAAAGACGAAGGAAUACCAAGCCGAGGAUUAGGAUUCAAGUUUGGAGAUAUCCUCCACGUGACUAAUGCUAGCGAUGAAGACUGGUGGCAGGCGCGCCGGGUACUUCCCCAGGGAGACGAGGGAGAGAUGGGACUUGUACCGUCACGGACAAGAUGGGAGAAAAAGAUGAGAUCUAGGCACAGAUCUGUCGGCUGGAGAAGCCAGACGGACGACCGGAAAAAAUACUCUAGUCUCGGACGAAAACUUCCCUUUAUGAAGAGCCGGGACGAAAUGUCGAGCGAGACCGAUGCAACCGGAAAUGACGGGGAGAGCCUGCACAGCAAGGACGAGGAGUUCGUCCCGACCUACGAGAUGGUUCAGCAGGUCCAGAUCGAGUAUACUAGACCCGUUAUCGUCCUCGGACCCUUAAAGGACAGAAUCAACGAUGAUCUGAUCUCCGAGUAUCCGGAGUCAUUCGGAUCCUGUGUUCCUCACACCACACGCCCUAGGCGUGAAUAUGAAGUAGAUUCCAGAGAUUACCACUUCGUUGCCUCCAGAGAGGCUAUGGAGGCCGACAUUCAAAACCACAAAUUUAUCGAGGCCGGACAAUAUAACGACAACCUAUACGGAACGAGUAUCGCGAGUGUGAAAGCAGUCGCGGAGAAGGGGAAGCACUGCAUCCUCGACGUUUCCGGGAAUGCAAUUAAGCGACUGCAGGCUGCGCGGAUAUAUCCCAUCGCGAUUUUUGUAAAACCUCGUGAUGUCAACUUCAUCAUUUCGGUGAACAAGAAGCUUAGCGAGGAGCAAGCGAAGAAAAGUUUCGACCGAGCUUGUCGACUAGAAAACGAAUUUAUUGAAUACUUUACCGCCAUGGUUGAGGGGGAAACCAUUGACGGGAUUUACGAAAAAGUUAAACAAGUUAUUGUCGAGAAUUCAGCCAAAAACAUCUGGGUUCCGUCAAACGAGAAUUUUUAAAAAAAAACUUCUUUUGUUUAGGUGUACAUAUAUUAUAUAUUAGAUGGGAUCAUUCUUUCAAUGUUGUCUUAAACUAAAAUUCUUUCUAUCAAAUAUUCUUUGACGAGUUCAUAGUUGGAUAUAAGCUGCCACAUUAUUUCUUCCAACAUUCAUCCCUUCCUACGCAUAACCCCUUGAGAAUGAAUUGACUUGUUGCUACUGAAUAGUUUAUUGUUAUCAUGGAAAAAUAUAUCAUCAACCAUUAGAAA